Molecule: ribosomal RNA, 789 nt
Filed under: uncultured archaeon
Lineage: Archaea
Description: bacterial SSU rRNA
Rfam family: Archaeal small subunit ribosomal RNA
Source: RNAcentral
ACUGCUCAGUAACACGUGGACAAUCUGCCCUGAAGUGGAGAAUAAUCCCGGGAAACUGGGGGUAAUACUCCAUAGUUCGUUAUUACUGGAAUGUUUUUCGAACGAAAGAUCCGUCGCUUCAGGAUGAGUCUGCGGCCGAUUAGGUAGUUGUUGGGGUAAUUGCCCAACAAGCCUGUAAUCGGUACGGGUUGUGGGAGCAAGAGCCCGGAGAUGGAUUCUGAGACACGAAUCCAGGCCCUACGGGGCGCAGCAGGCGCGAAAACUUUACCAUGCGGGCAACCGUGAUAAGGAAACCCCGAGUGCCAGCACAGGCUGGCUGUCCGCCAGUUUAAACAACUGGCGAAGAAAGGGCCGGGCAAGACCGGUGCCAGCCGCCGCGGUAAUACCGGCGGCUCGAGUGGUGGCCGCUAUUACUGGGCUUAAAGGGUCCGUAGCUUGAUAAUAGGGUCCCUUGAGAAAUCCGCCGGCUUAACUGGCGGGCGUUCAGGGGAAACUUGUUUUCUAGGGACCGGGAGAGGUGAGGGGUACUGCCGGGGUAGGAGUGAAAUCCUGUAAUCCCGGUGGGACCACCUAUGGCGAAGGCAUCUCACCAGAACGGGUCCGACAGUGAGGGACGAAAGCUGGGGGAGCAAACCGGAUUAGAUACCCGGGUAGUCCCAGCUGUAAACUAUGUGCGUUAGGUGUGUCAGUGACCACGUGUCACUGAGGUGCCGAAGGGAAACCGUGAAACGCACCGCCUGGGGAGUACGGUCGCAAGGCUGAAACUUAAAGGAAUUGGCGGGGGAGCAC